Molecule: small RNA, 102 nt
Filed under: Escherichia coli
Lineage: Bacteria; Pseudomonadati; Pseudomonadota; Gammaproteobacteria; Enterobacterales; Enterobacteriaceae
Also listed under: 1 other name
Description: partial RtT sRNA
Rfam family: RtT RNA
About the family: This family represents a bacterial cis-regulatory element known as RtT RNA. The exact function of RtT is unknown although it is thought that it may be involved in changing the cellular response in relation to amino acid starvation.
Source: RNAcentral
UUGCAUUUGAAGCCCAUGAGGAUGAGAACCUCCGGGGGCGGGGAGGUUCGACUCGAGCGAAGCGAGAGAACGUUGCGCCAGCAACGGCCCGCAGGGCGAGCC